GAACUGAAGAGUUUGAUCCUGGCUCAGAUUGAACGCUGGCGGCAUGCCUUACACAUGCAAGUCGAACGGCAGCACGGGGGCAACCCUGGUGGCGAGUGGCGAACGGGUGAGUAAUACAUCGGAACGUGUCCUGUAGUGGGGGAUAGCCCGGCGAAAGCCGGAUUAAUACCGCAUACGCUCUACGGAGGAAAGGGGGGGAUCUUAGGACCUCCCGCUACAGGGGCGGCCGAUGGCAGAUUAGCUAGUUGGUGGGGUAAA
This 258-nucleotide ribosomal RNA is filed under the name Paraburkholderia aspalathi. Its description in RNAcentral is "partial 16S ribosomal RNA". It matches the Rfam family "Bacterial small subunit ribosomal RNA", at positions 1 to 261 of the family's 1533-position model. The record is from RNAcentral. Lineage: Bacteria; Pseudomonadati; Pseudomonadota; Betaproteobacteria; Burkholderiales; Burkholderiaceae. RNAcentral also lists the same sequence under 1 other name.